AGUCGUACGGAUGUAGCAAUACAUCAGUGGCGAACGGGUGAGUAAUGAAUCGCUAAUGUGCCCCGGACUCUGGGAUAGCUAGCCGAAAGGUUAGGUAAUACCAGAUGAUAUAUCCUUAUCGCAUGAUAGGGAUCUCAAAGGUCCGCCGGUCUGGGAGCAGGCGAUUUUGUAUCAGCUAGUUGGUGAGGUAACGGCUCACCAAGGCGAUGACGCAUAGCCGGACUGAGAGGUUGGCCGGCCACAUUGGGACUGAGACACUGCCCAGACUCCUACGGGGGGCUGCAGUAACGAAUCUUCCGCAAUGCACGAAAGUGUGACGAAGCGACGCCGCGUGUGGGACGAAGCCCUUCGGGGUGUAAACCACUGUCAGGGGAUAGAAAGUUCUGAUCAUCCCCAGAGGAAGGCACGGCUAACUCUGUGCCAGCAGCCGCG
This 432-nucleotide ribosomal RNA is filed under the name uncultured soil bacterium. RNAcentral's name for it is "bacterial SSU rRNA". It matches the Rfam family "Bacterial small subunit ribosomal RNA", at positions 60 to 519 of the family's 1533-position model. The record is from RNAcentral.